Molecule: non-coding RNA, 26 nt
Filed under: Rattus norvegicus (Norway rat)
Lineage: Eukaryota; Metazoa; Chordata; Mammalia; Rodentia; Muridae
Source: RNAcentral
UCCAAGUCCUGUGUCUGAAGUGCAUU